RNAcentral lists this long non-coding RNA (229 nucleotides) under Elaeis guineensis (African oil palm). RNAcentral's name for it is "long non-coding RNA (EGUI_LNC048912)". Lineage: Eukaryota; Viridiplantae; Streptophyta; Magnoliopsida; Arecales; Arecaceae. The record is from RNAcentral.
UGGGUCUAACCCCAAGUGCAUCAUAGAUUGAACCAUCUCAUGGUCAAUCUUAAUGUGCCUUAGCUCUCCAAAAGCCUGGUAGUCCAGUCUUCAUCAUGAUGAAGACUACCAAGAAUGCUUGAUCUUUAUUUAAAAAUAAAAAGAAAUAAUUUUUAUCUAUUCUCAAAUAAUUUUUUUCUUUUAUUUUACUUCAAUAUGUAAAAAUUUUAAUCAAUAGUUGAAAAUAUAG